GACGAACGCUGGCGGCGUGCUUAACACAUGCAAGUCGAACGGAAAGGCCCUGCUUGCCGGGUACUCGAGUGGCGAACGGGUGAGUAACACGUGGGUGAUCUGCCCUGCACUUCGGGAUAAGCCUGGGAAACUGGGUCUAAUACCGGAUAGGAGCCAUUUUUAGUGUGAUGGUUGGAAAGUUUUUUCGGUGUAGGAUGAGCUCGCGGCCUAUCAGCUUGUUGGUGGGGUAAUGGCCUACCAAGGCGGCGACGGGUAGCCGGCCUGGGAGGGUGGACGGCCACAUUGGGACUGAGAUACGGCCCAGACUCCUACGGGAGGCAGCAGUGGGGAAUAUUGCACAAUGGGCGCAAGCCUGAUGCAGCGACGCCGCGGGGGGGAUGACGGCCUUCGGGUUGUAAACUCCUUUCGCUAGGGACGAAGCUUUUUGUGACGGUACCUAGAGAAGAAGCACCGGCUAACUACGUG
RNAcentral lists this ribosomal RNA (465 nucleotides) under uncultured bacterium. RNAcentral's name for it is "partial 16S ribosomal RNA". It matches the Rfam family "Bacterial small subunit ribosomal RNA", at positions 28 to 507 of the family's 1533-position model. The record is from RNAcentral.